This 35-nucleotide ribosomal RNA is filed under the name Gyroporus sp. Arora00-429. RNAcentral describes it as "partial 25S ribosomal RNA". Lineage: Eukaryota; Fungi; Basidiomycota; Agaricomycetes; Boletales; Gyroporaceae. The record is from RNAcentral.
GCCUCAGAUCAGGCAGGGCUACCCGCUGAACUUAA